AAUUAGUGGCAGACGGGUGAGUAAUGCAUAGGAAUCUACCUAGUAGUAUAGGAUAGCCACUAGAAGUGGUGGGUAAUACUGUAUAAUCCCUGCGGGGGAAAGAUUUAUCGCUACAUGAUGAGCCUAUGUUAGAUUAGCUAGUUGGUGGGGUAAUGGCCUACCAAGGCAGUGAUCUAUAGCUGGUCUGAGAGGAUGAUCAGCCACACUGGAACUGAGACACGGUCCAGACUCCUACGGGAGGCAGCAGUGGGGAAUAUUGGACAAUGGGCGCAAGCCUGAUCCAGCUAUGCCGCGUGAGUGAGGAAGGCCUUAGGGUUGUAAAACUCUUUCAGUGGGGAAGAUAAUGACGGUACCCACAGAAGAAGUCCCGGCAAACUCCGUGCCAGCAGCCGCGGUAAUACGGAGGGGGCAAGCGUUGUUCGGAAUUAUUGGGCGUAAAGGGCAUGUAGGUGGUUUGGUUAGUUAAAGGUGAAAUGCCAGGGCUUAACCCUGGAGCUGCUUUUAAUACUGC
Molecule: ribosomal RNA, 511 nt
Filed under: Anaplasma bovis
Lineage: Bacteria; Pseudomonadati; Pseudomonadota; Alphaproteobacteria; Rickettsiales; Anaplasmataceae
Description: bacterial SSU rRNA
Rfam family: Bacterial small subunit ribosomal RNA
Source: RNAcentral